CCCCUGGACCAGAGAACAGAGACACCCACCGUGGUUCUGACAGGUUCUGACCCCUGGACCAGAGAACAGACACCCACCGUGGUUCUGACAGGUUCUGACCACUGGACCAGAGAACAGACACCCACCGUGGCCCUGACAGGUUCUGACCCCUGGACCAGAGAACAGACACCCACCGUGGCCCUGACAGGUUCUGACCCCUGGACCAGAGAACAGACACCCACCGUGGCCCUGACAGGUUCUGACCCCUGGACCAGAGAACAGACACCCACCGUGGCCCUGACAGGUUCUGACCCCUGGACCAGAGAACAGACACCCACCGUGGUCCUGACAGGUUCUGACCCCUGGACCAGAGAACAGACACCCACCGUGGCCCUGACAGGUUCUGACCCCUGGACCAGAGAACAGACACCCACCGUGGUCCUGACAGGUUCUGACCCCUGGACCAGAGAACAGACACCCACCGUGGCCCUGACAGGUUCUGACCCCUGGACCAGAGAACAGACACCCACCGUGGUCCUGACAGGUUCUGACCCCUGGACCAGAGAACAGACACCCACCGUGGUCCUGACAGGUUCUGACCCCUGGACCAGAGAACAGACACCCACCGUGGUUCUGACAGGUUCUGACCCCUGGACCAGAGAACAGACACCCACCGUGGCCCUGACAGGUUCUGACCCCUGGACCAGAGAACAGACACCCACCGUGGCCCUGACAGGUUCUGACCCCUGGACCAGAGAACAGACACCCACCGUGGCCCUGACAGGUUCUGACCCCGGGACCAGAGAACAGACAGGUUCUGACCCCGGGACCAGAGAACAGACAGGUUCUGACCCCUGGACCAGAGAACAGACAGGUUCUGACCCCUGGACCAGAGUACAGAGACACCCCCAGUGAAAGCAGCAUCUAUGUGGAGGAAGUUAUCAGAACCCUGGUCAGGAUAGUGAACGGUGGACCAGUCAAUCUUCAUCAUUUCAUUUGCAUCUCCAUUAUAUCUUCUCUUCUCGUCAAUAUAGAUGAUUCACAUGUUGAAAUGUAUAUCAAGAUAUUGUUUAUUUCACUUUUCUUUCAUCCUGGUUCCAUCUCAGCACUCAGCACACCUGAUUCCAUCAAUCGUCCAAUCAUCAAGCCCCUUUUGAUAAGUUGAUUGAGGUGUGUUAGGCUGGCACAAAACCCUGCCACACCCUGUGGGUUUUCCAGGACUGGGAUUGAAGGACACUGAUGUGUUUGACUUUGUUUGUCAGAAUCAGAGACUGGGGAUGAAUUUUAAUUUAGUUUCUCAGAUUUUUAUGAAGUGCUGUUUUUACUGAGCGGCUGAUGUUUUGUAUUUAGUCUGGUUUUUGGUUUUACUGUGUUGUUGUUAUUGACAUUAUUUAACAGAUCACGAGUUUGUAAAUAUUGAUAAAAGACUGAGGAUGAUGUUAUUAUCGUUGGUGGUAAUAUAAUCAGUAUAUAGCACCUUCAUAAGCAGUAUAUAGCACCUUCAUAAGCAGCGUAUAGCACCUUCAUAAUCAGUAUAUAGCACCUUCAUAAGCAGUAUAUAGCACCUUCAUAAGCAGUAUAUAACACCUUCAUAAGCAGUAUAUAGCACCUUCAUAAGCAGCGUAUAGCACCUUCAUAAUCAGUAUAUAGCACCUUCAUAAUCAGUAUAUAGCACCUUCAUAAGCAGCGUAUAGCACCUUCAUAAUCAGUAUAUAGCACCUUCAUAAGCAGCGUAUAGCACCUUCAUAAGCAGUGUAUAGCACCUUCAUAAGCAGUAUAUAACACCUUCAUAAGCAGUAUAUAGCACCUUCAUAAGCAGCGUAUAGCACCUUCAUAAGCAGUAUAUAGCACCUUCAUAAGCAGUAUAUAACACCUUCAUAAGCAGUAUAUAGCACCUUCAUAAGCAGCGUAUAGCACCUUCAUAAGCAGUAUAUAGCACCUUCAUAAGCAGUGCAUAGCACCUUCAUAAGCAGUAUAUAGCACCUUCAUAAGCAGUAUAUAGCACCUUCAUAAGCAGUAUAUAGCACCUUCAUAAGCAGUAUAUAGCACCUUCAUAAGCAGUAUAUAGCACCUUCAUAAGCAGUGCAUGAGGGCUUCAUAGGUAAAAGCAUCAUCUUGAUUCUAGUCAAAUAUGACAUGUACUGACCCAAUCACAACAACCCCACACCCUUCCAACAAGUAUUUGAAACUAUCCGACCCAUACAGACCCGUUAAUCUGGGAUUGGGCUAUGGAUCCUCCACAGGGAUGACGUAGGCCCUUAAGUAUUGCUUAUGAAGGGGACAAGUAGCCUCUAAGUAGGUUUCCUGCUCUAACUCCUAAAAGAUCUGAUCAUACAUGGACUGUACAUCAGUGGAGUUGUUGCUAAUAGCAACAUGUCAAAGGUAUACCUAAUUUACAUCCCAAAUGGUACCCUAUCCCCUAUAUAGUGCCCUUCAUUUGACCAGAGCCCUAUGGGUUGAACCCUAUAUAGUGCUCUUCAUUUGACCAGAGCCCUAUAUAGUGCACUUCAUUUGACCAGAGCCCUAUGGGUUGAGCCCUAUAUAGUGCUCUUCAUUUGACCAGAGCCCUAUAUAGUGCACUUCAUUUGACCAGAGCCCUAUGGGUUGAGCCCUAUAUAGUGCUCUUCCUUUGACCAGAGCCCUAUAUAGUGCACUUCAUUUGACCAGAGCCCUAAGGGUUGAGCCCUAUAUAGUGCACUUCAUUUGACCAGAGCCCUAAGAGUUGAGCCCUAUAUAGUGCACUUCAUUUGACCAGACCCUAUGGGUUGAACCCUAUAUAGUGCACUUCAUUUGACCUGAGCCCUAUAUAGUGCACUUCAUUUGACCAGAGCCCUAAGAGUUGAGCCCUAUAUAGUGUUCUUCAUUUGACCAGAGCCCUAAGAGUUGAGCCCUAUAUAGUGUUCUUCAUUUGACCAGAGCCCUAUGGGUUGAGCCCUAUAUAGUACACUUCAUUUGACCAGAGCCCUAUGGGUUGAACCCUAUAUAGUAUACACUUCAUUUGACCAGAGCCCUAUGGGUUGAGCCCUAUAUAGUGCCCUUCAUUUGACCAGAGCCCUAUGGGUUGAGCCCUAUAUAGUGCACUUCAUUUGAUCAGAGCCCUAUGGGUUGAACCCUAUCCCUUAAGUAGUGCACUAUACAGGGGAAAGGAUGCCAUUUGUGACAGAGGGAGGAUUUGAAUGGAUGUGUGUGUGUGUGUGUGUGGUGUUUGAAACUAAAACCUGCUAACCAACCAUGUAAUGUCUAACAGUAUGAUGGAGGUCACAUGGUUAAAUAAAGCGGAUGUUUGGAACAUGUGUAGGAGAGACCGAGCCCCUAUAGGCUAAUCUAAAACCUGCUAACCAACCAUGUAAUGUCUAACAGUAUGAUGGAGGUCACAUGGUUAAAUAAAGCGGAUGUUUGGAACAUGUGUAGGAGAGACCGAGCCCCUAUAGGCUAAUCUAAAACCUGCUAACCAACCAUGUAAUGUCUAACAGUAUGAUGGAGGUCACAUGGUUAAAUAAAGCGGAUGUUUGGAACAUGUGUAGGAGAGACCGAGCCCCUAUAGGCUAAUCUAAAACCUGCUAACCAACCAUGUAAUGUCUAACAGUAUGAUGGAGGUCACAUGGUUAAAUAAAGCGGAUGUUUGGAACAUGUGUAGGAGAGACCGAGCCCCUAUAGGCUAAUCUAAAACCUGCUAACCAACCAUGUAAUGUCUAACAGUAUGAUGGAGGUCACAUGGUUAAAUAAAGCGGAUGUUUGGAACAUGUGUAGGAGAGACCGAGCCCCUACAGCCUAAUCUACAACCUGCUUUCAAUAUAG
Long non-coding RNA from Oncorhynchus mykiss (rainbow trout), 3777 nucleotides. The record is from Ensembl. NCBI's taxonomy places the organism in Eukaryota, Metazoa, Chordata, Actinopteri, Salmoniformes, Salmonidae.